Molecule: long non-coding RNA, 768 nt
Filed under: Citrus x clementina
Lineage: Eukaryota; Viridiplantae; Streptophyta; Magnoliopsida; Sapindales; Rutaceae
Description: Citrus clementina (C. clementina) long non-coding RNA (CCLE_LNC005136)
Source: RNAcentral
CUAUAGCCUUGGUGGGGGGCGUGGGCGAAGUUCGUCCGCGGGACUCCGAAUUGCACCAGACUUGGCGGUCGGCCUCCGUGUGCCAAAAAUAGGUCACGGGCACAGCCGCGCCCAAAAAUCAGCCCCCGAAGGUCGGGGUCCCAAGACCCCCCUGCGGAAAAAUGGCCAAAAAACGGGUGGGCUAUAGCCUUGGUAGGCGGCGUGGGCGAAGUUCGUCUGCCGGACUCGGAAUGGCCCCAGACUUGGCGGGCGGCCUCCGUGUGCCAAAAAUAGGCCACGGGCACAGCCGCGCCCAAAAAUCAGCCCCCGAAGGUCGGGGUCCCAAGACCCCCCAGCGGAAAAAUGGCCAAAAAAAGGGUGGGCUAUAGCCUAUGUGGGGGGCGUGGGCGAAGUUCGUCCGCGGGACUCGGAAUGGCCCCAUACUUGGCGGGCGGCCUCCGUGUGCCAAAAAUAGGCCACGGGCACAGCCGCGCCCAAAAAUCAACCCCCGAAGGUCGGGGUCCCAAGACCCCCCAGCGGAAAAAUGGCCAAAAAAAGGGUGGGCUAUAGCCUAUGUGGGGGGCGUGGGCGAAGUUCGUCCGCGGGACUCGGAUUGGCCCCAGGCUUGGCGGGCGGCCUCCGUGUGCCAAAAAUAGGCCACGGGCACAGCCGCGCCCAAAAAUCAGCCCCCGAAGGUCGGGGUCCCAAGACCCCCCCGCGGAAAAAUGGCCAAAAAACGGGUGGGCUAUAGCCUUGGCGGGGGGCGUGGGCGAAGUUCGUCCGCGGGAU